CCUACGGGGGGCAGCAGUGAGGAAUAUUGGUCAAUGGACGAGAGUCUGAACCAGCCAAGUAGCGUGAAGGAUGACUGCCCUAUGGGUUGUAAACUUCUUUUAUAUGGGAAUAAAACGUUCCACGUGUGGGAUUUUGUAUGUACCAUAUGAAUAAGGAUCGGCUAACUCCGUGCCAGCAGCCGCGGUAAUACGGAGGAUCCGAGCGUUAUCCGGAUUUAUUGGGUUUAAAGGGAGCGUAGGUGGAUUGUUAAGUCAGUUGUGAAAGUUUGCGGCUCAACCGUAAAAUUGCAGUUGAAACUGGCAGUCUUGAGUACAGUAGAGGUGGGCGGAAUUCGUGGGGUAGCGGUGAAAUGCUUAGAUAUCACGAAGAACUCCGAUUGCGAAGGCAGUUCACUGGACUGCAACUGACACUGAGGCUCGAAAGUGUGGGUAUCAAACAGGAUUAGAUACCCGAGUAGUC
Molecule: ribosomal RNA, 460 nt
Filed under: uncultured bacterium
Lineage: Bacteria
Description: partial 16S ribosomal RNA
Rfam family: Bacterial small subunit ribosomal RNA
Source: RNAcentral